This 916-nucleotide ribosomal RNA is filed under the name uncultured bacterium. RNAcentral's name for it is "bacterial SSU rRNA". It matches the Rfam family "Bacterial small subunit ribosomal RNA", at positions 10 to 916 of the family's 1533-position model. The record is from RNAcentral.
AGUUUGAUCCUGGCUCAGGAUGAACGCUAGCUACAGGCUUAACACAUGCAAGUCGAGGGGCAGCGGUAUCGAAAGCUUGCUUUCGGUAGCCGGCGACCGGCGCACGGGUGAGUAACGCGUAUCGAACCUGCCUCAUACUCGGGAAUAGCCUUGCGAAAGUAAGAUUAAUGCCCGGUGUUUUCAGAGUCCCGCAUGAGGCUUUGAACAAAGAUUUAUCGGUAUGAGAUGGCGAUGCGUCCCAUUAGCCUGUUGGCGGGGUAACGGCCCACCAAGGCAUCGAUGGGUAGGGGUUCUGAGAGGAAGGUCCCCCACAUUGGAACUGAGACACGGUCCAAACUCCUACGGGAGGCAGCAGUGAGGAAUAUUGGUCAAUGGGCGGAAGCCUGAACCAGCCAAGUAGCGUGCAGGAAGACGGCCCUCCGGGUUGUAAACUGCUUUUAGUUGGGAAUAAAACGGGGCUCGUGAGCCCCCUUGCAUGUACCAUCAGAAAAAGGACCGGCUAAUUCCGUGCCAGCAGCCGCGGUAAUACGGAAGGUUCGGGCGUUAUCCGGAUUUAUUGGGUUUAAAGGGAGCGCAGGCGGACCUUUAAGUCAGCUGUGAAAUACGGCGGCUCAACCGUCGAACUGCAGUUGAUACUGGAGGUCUUGAGUGCACACAGGGAUGCUGGAAUUCAUGGUGUAGCGGUGAAAUGCUCAGAUAUCAUGAAGAACUCCGAUCGCGAAGGCAGGCAUCCGGGGUGCAACUGACGCUGAGGCUCGAAAGUGCGGGUAUCAAACAGGAUUAGAUACCCUGGUAGUCCGCACGGUAAACGAUGGAUGCCCGCUGUUGGUCUGAAUAGGUCAGCGGCCAAGCGAAAGCAUUAAGCAUCCCACCUGGGGAGUACGCCGGCAACGGUGAAACUCAAAGGAAUUGACGG